Pteropus vampyrus (large flying fox) is the source of this 121-nucleotide ribosomal RNA. Lineage: Eukaryota; Metazoa; Chordata; Mammalia; Chiroptera; Pteropodidae. The record is from Ensembl.
GUCUACAGCCAUGCUACCCUGAACAAGCCCUAUCCUGUCUGAUGUCGGAAGUUAAGCCAGGUCAGGCCUAUUUAGUACUUGGAUGGGAGACCACUAAGGAAGAGACCGGGUGCUGUAGGCA